Molecule: unclassified non-coding RNA, 938 nt
Filed under: Hevea brasiliensis (rubber tree)
Lineage: Eukaryota; Viridiplantae; Streptophyta; Magnoliopsida; Malpighiales; Euphorbiaceae
Source: RNAcentral
UAAGCCAUCUAUAUAUAUAAUACAUACCAUGAAAUGACAAAGUGACAAAGUAGAGUGUAAGAGCUUAUUAUAUAGUGAACAAUUCUCUCUUUUAGAUCACAAAUCCCUUGAACAAACAAAGCAAAAACCAAAUCAUUUUUCUAAGUUAAAAAAAAAAAAUCUGAUUUUUGUUUUUCUUACUGGAAAAAAGCUUCUUUUUUUUCCUUUCUUCAUCAUCUGGGUUCUAAAAUAAAUCAAGAUUCAGGAUUUUGAUUUUGUAGUUUGAGUAAAAAGGGGGUUGAUGGCUACUCGUAAUUUGGAGAAAUUUGCAUCUAUAGAUGCACAGAUGAGGCUUUUGGUACCUACUAAGGUGUCUGAAGAUGAUAUGCUUGUUGAGUAUGAUGCUUUGCUUUUGGAUCGAUUUCUUGAUAUUCUUGAGGAUUUGCAUGGAGAGGGUAUCAAAACAACAGUCCAAGAAUGUUAUGAGCUUUCUGCUGAGUAUGAAAACACGCAUGAUAAGAAGAAGCUGGAGGAGCUUGGCAGUGUGUUGACAACUUUGGAUCCAGGGGAUUCAAUUGUUGUUGCUAAGUCGAUAUCCCAUAUGCUUAACAUGGCCAACUUGGCUGAGGAGGUUCAGAUUGCCAACAGUGGGAGGGCAAAGUCGAAAAAGGGCGAACUUUCAGAUGAGAGCAACUUGAUGACUGAAUCCGACAUUGAAGAAACACUCAAGAGACUUGUAGUGAACUUGAACAAGUCUCCUCGAGAAGUUUUUAAUGCUCUGAAGAAUCAGACUGUGGAUUUGGUCUUUACUGCUCAUCCGACUCAAGCUAUCCGAAGAUCUUUGCUUCAGAAGCAUGCAAGGAUCCGCAAUUGUUUGUCUCAGUUGUAUGCUAAAGACAUUACACCCGACGAUAAAGAGGAGCUGGAUGAAGCUUUAGAGAGGGAGAUUCAAGCUGCUU